This 427-nucleotide ribosomal RNA is filed under the name uncultured bacterium. Its description in RNAcentral is "bacterial SSU rRNA". It matches the Rfam family "Bacterial small subunit ribosomal RNA", at positions 355 to 774 of the family's 1533-position model. The record is from RNAcentral.
UAGGGAAUAUUGGACAAUGGGGGCAACCCUGAUCCAGCCAUGCCGCGUGAGUGAAGAAGGCCCUCGGGUUGUAAAGCUCUUUUGUCCGGAAAGAAAAGCAUUCGGUGAAUACCCGGAUGUUCUGACGGUACCGGAAGAAUAAGCACCGGCUAACUUCGUGCCAGCAGCCGCGGUAAUACGAAGGGUGCAAGCGUUACUCGGAAUUACUGGGCGUAAAGCGUGCGUAGGUGGUUGUUUAAGUCUGAUGUGAAAGCCCUGGGCUCAACCUGGGAAUGGCAUUGGAAACUGGGCAGCUAGAGUGCGGUAGAGGGUAGUGGAAUUCCCGGUGUAGCAGUGAAAUGCGUAGAGAUGUGGAGGAACACCGAUGGCGAAGGCAGCCCCCUGGGCCUGUACUGACGCUCAUGCACGAAAGCGUGGGGAGCAAACA